CUGGCGGCACGCUUAACACAUGCAAGUCGAACGAGAUCUUCGGAUCUAGUGGCAGACGGGUGAGUAACGCGUGGGAACCUGCCCAGUAGUAGAGGACAACUUGGGGAAACUUAAGCUAAUACUUUAUACGUCCUUCGGGAGAAAGCUUUAUGCGCUAUUGGAUGGGCCCGCGUUAGAUUAGUUUGUUGGUGAGGUAAUGGCUCACCAAGACUACGAUCUAUAGCUGGUCUGAGAGGAUGAUCAGCCACACUGGGACUGAGACACGGCCCAGACUCCUACGGGAGGCAGCAGUGGGGAAUAUUGGACAAUGGGGGCAACCCUGAUCCAGCGAUGCCGCGUGAGUGAUGAAGGCCCUAGGGUUGUAAAACUCUUUCGUCAGGGAAGAUAAUGACGGUACCUGAAGAAGAAGAUCCGGCUAACUCCGUGCCAGCAGCCGCGGUAAUACGGAGGGAUCUAGCGUUAUUCGGAAUUACUGGGCGUAAAGCGAGCGUAGGCGGAUUUGUAAGUUGGAGGUGAAAUCCCAGAGCUUAACUCUGGAACUGCCUUCAAAACUACAUUUCUUGAGUUUGGUAGAGGAGAGUGGAAUUCCUAGUGUAGAGGUGAAAUUCGUAGAUAUUAGGAGGAACACCAGUGGCGAAGGCGACUCUCUGGGCCAAUACUGACGCUGAGGUUCGAAAGCAUGGGUAGCGAACAGGAUUAGAUACCCUGGUAGUCCAUGCAGUAAACGAUGAGUGCUAGAUGUUGGGAAUUUAAAUUUCCAGUAUCGCAGUUAACGCGUUAAGCACUCCGCCU
RNAcentral lists this ribosomal RNA (792 nucleotides) under uncultured Alphaproteobacteria bacterium. Its description in RNAcentral is "bacterial SSU rRNA". It matches the Rfam family "Bacterial small subunit ribosomal RNA", at positions 36 to 874 of the family's 1533-position model. The record is from RNAcentral. Lineage: Bacteria; Pseudomonadati; Pseudomonadota; Alphaproteobacteria.